This is a long non-coding RNA of Suricata suricatta (meerkat), 347 nucleotides long. RefSeq lists it as uncharacterized. The record is from RefSeq and is a predicted model, not a curated record. The transcript has 3 exons. NCBI's taxonomy places the organism in Eukaryota, Metazoa, Chordata, Mammalia, Carnivora, Herpestidae.
UCCUUGUCUCGUUCCUGACCUUAGGGCUGACGCUCUCAGUUUUCUCCAUUGAGUGUGAUGUUUGCUGUGGGUUUUUCAUAUUAGGCCUUUAUUAUGUUAUCCCUCUGACCUACGUCGUUGAGGGAUUUUAUCAGGAAUGGAUGUUGUACUUUGUCACUCCUGCCUUCUUAUCAUGGAUUCAGCUUGGAUGUGGAGAAGCCCAUGGUCUUUCGAGAGGAUGGAGCUAGCUUCGGACAGAGUGUGGCCCAGUUUGGCAGAUCAAGGAACCUGGGCAGAGUCUUCUUAUCUUCUGACUCAGGUUGUCGGUUGUCAUCUCUGAUGUAGUUUGAUGGCGAGUCUGGUAAGGG